RNAcentral lists this ribosomal RNA (301 nucleotides) under uncultured bacterium. Its description in RNAcentral is "partial 16S ribosomal RNA". It matches the Rfam family "Bacterial small subunit ribosomal RNA", at positions 509 to 807 of the family's 1533-position model. The record is from RNAcentral.
CAGCAGCCGCGGGAAAACGUAGGGUGCAAGCGUUAAUCGGAAUUACUGGGCGUAAAGCGUGCGCAGGCGGUUAUAUAAGACAGAUGUGAAAUCCCCGGGCUCAACCUGGGAACUGCAUUUGUGACUGUAUAGCUAGAGUACGGCAGAGGGGGAUGGAAUUCCGCGUGUAGCAGUGAAAUGCGUAGAUAUGCGGAGGAACACCGAUGGCGAAGGCAAUCCCCUGGGCCUGUACUGACGCUCAUGCACGAAAGCGUGGGGAGCAAACAGGAUUAGAUACCCCCGUAGUCCCUGUCUCUUAUAC